Non-coding RNA from Odocoileus virginianus texanus, 3507 nucleotides. Lineage: Eukaryota; Metazoa; Chordata; Mammalia; Artiodactyla; Cervidae. The record is from RefSeq and is a predicted model, not a curated record.
AUAAAUUAAAACAUUUAAUUUAAUUUAUAAUAAUUAGUGUAUGGUAUAGUCAGAUUAUUUUUUUGGAACAAGAAUUUAAAUUCAUCAAAAUUUCCCCCAUUAAAAAGUUAUCUGGCCUUUUUGUUUUGAUAAGGAUAUAUAGGCAAAUAUUAAUAAUAUAGUUCAUAUAUGGGGUGCUGGAUUAAAAGGUCUUAAAAAACAUGUUAAAAGUCUUCACCAGUUUAUUUCACACUAAAAAGUAGGUCAAUAGAUGAGAAGGAUACCUCUGUUGGAUUGACAGGUGAAAAUGUGACAGAUACCAAUGUUUCUGAUUAAUCUAGUAGUGUAGAACUAACUUCUAUUUUAAAAACCCAAAUUUACACUUUUCGUUCUUUAAAACAAUCUGCUUUUUCUUUCUGAUUGAACAUUCUACAUUGAAUUCAGUUAUUGUCCAAUGAUGAGGAUCUUGGCUAUUACUUCUGUGAGUAAAGAGCAAUAUAAGUAAUGAAGUUUCUUUUCUUGGUUUGUGUGGUUUAUUCAUGUGUGGUCACUGAAGUAGCUCAAAAGAAUAAAAGGCUGUAUGCAUAAAACCAAAUCUAAGAACACCAAGUAUUGCCAUAGUAAGAAUGUGUUAUGGGCCAAGGAGUAGAAUGAACACAUUUCAGUACCUCUGAGAUUCAUCUUGGAAAGAAAUGGAAGGCAUUGAAUUAAAUUUUUCAAAACUGUUGUCUAUUCCAUAUUAUUUCUGCACCACAGUUGGUUUAAUAUUUCAAUAUUAUUAGAGACCCAGACUAUUAACUGUUUAGAGGAAGCUCUUAGAAGGGACAACUUAUUGUGUGUGUUCUAGGUGUAGGGUACCAUUGUGGUUUUUGGAUGGUUCAUUACAUCAUUUUUAAAAUUGAGUGAAUUAAAUUUGUAUGGCCUGAUUAUGGCUCACUUUUUGUGAUGGUCCUGAUAUGAAACAAGGUUACACUCAUAUCUAGUCUGCAAACUCUGUCAGAAAUCAGCCUAGAGGCAAUAAUUAGAGUUACAUCCUGUGACUGUUCUGGGAUCCUGUUCUGGGAGAUUGUGACUCAUGAGAUAAUGGAGGUAUAAAUUAACAAAGAAAAAGAGUACUAAGCCUGGACUAGUCAUGAGAUUGGAGGGUGUCUGAAUCAAACAUAUUUAUUAAAGUGAUAUCUAAUUCUGAGGUCCAUCAUUUACAAGUGGCCUUCUUAUUUUUUUUUUUCCUUUAUGGAAACGAGUAUUCAGCAGAAGUUCAGAAUAUUCAGAUAUCUGGAUCACAGACAUCUUCUGGAGAUAGAUUGAUUUUUACAAGUAAAUCAAUGUAUGAGUAAAUGAAGAAAUGUAAAGAUGGGUAAAUAUAAAGAAAGCGUGGACCAGUUACGUGAGUAUGUAACAAACAUGGAUUAUUAUUAAACAUUACUAUAGCACUGAGUGGAGAAGGACAUGAGAACCCACUCCAGUCUUCUUGCCUGGAGAAUCCCAGGGACAGAGGAGCCUGGUGGGCUGCCGUCCAUGGGGUCACAAAGAGUCGGACACGACUGAGUGACUAAGCACACUGCAGCACACAGCACUGAAUUUUAGUGAAAUACAUUCAUAAAGGCUGUUGCUCUUUUUUCAAAGGAGUAUGUAUGCAGAUGUAUUUAAGAUUCAGUGGUAUUGCUUGGUGUAGGUGGUUUGCUAGUUGGCUGUUUAGAGAAGAGAAAAUUUACAAAUAAAUGCUGAUUGAGUAAUUAAUUGAUAAAAGAAUGAACAUAGCUCAUCUUCAGAAUGUGCCUCAUGAAAAUGGUUAUUGUUAAUCCAACUCUUUUCACUGAGUUUUAUUAAAAACAACAGAACCACCUCAUCUUUAAAUCUCUGUAGGUAUUGAAAUAGACAUACGGAGAUAAUAAAUACUAUUUAAGUUUCUUAUCUAAUGUUAGUUAGUCCCUAGAUACCGAUGUGUUCUUACAUAUAAAUAGAUGAAGUCCUAAUGACAGUCAAUAGUUUAAAAGGAGGCAAACAUAGCUCAGUAAGAAAGAAUAAUGAUUCAUCUUUAGGUAUACGCCUAAUUCUCUCUUGCUAGUUUAGAUAUGAACAUGUAGGCAGGUACAUGAAGAUCAUUUCUAUUUUGGGUUGUGUCUAUUCUGGAUUUCCAUCAUUUUCUUUUGUGUGUUUAUAUAUUUGAACAUAUGGUCACGUAUUCCAUGAAUAAUUCCAUACCUGAAUAAAUACAACAAUGAACAAUUGAAUUAAUGUGUGAGUAGAGUCAAGCAUAGACUUUGGUGAGAAUAUGCCAUGAAUGAUAAAUUCUAAAUUCAGCCAUUUCUCUGCAAGUUGAGUCCAUUAAAAGGAUUAUCCAGGCUUUUACUUAUGUGGGUAGGGGUCUAUAGACAGGUAUGAGCAGUAGCAAUAGUUUUUAUUUUUGAGUGAUGAGCUCAACUGUGCUCGUUGUAGUAUUUGAAAGUAUUAGUUAAACCAAGCAAUAAAAACGAGUGCUCUUCUUGGGUCAAAGAUGAAAGUGAGACUUGAGUCAACUUCAUGAUUAACCUAGGAUCACACAGCUAAUAUCCUUUAAAUCAGUCUACAUCUAGACAGUUCCUUCUUCUGAACAUUGGCAUUUGACCCCACAGAAUGAAGACUAUGGCUGCUUCAGUCUUCUCUGAGGAAGAUCUUGGCUGUUACCUUUGUGGAAUGGAUGCUCAGUGAUUCAAUUAAGGACUGUAGAAACUUACAAUGGAUGCCUAUUAGCAGAUUUCAGCAUCUCCCAUGGUCAUGUGCUCUAUAGACUGAGAAUGGACCAGUUGAGCUGAUUGAAAAGUUCUUUCACGGACAUGCUCUUUAGUUGCCUCCAUGUCUCUGGUGUAUAGAGGCCCAUAAAGAGGACGCAGAACUCACACGUUCAUGGAGCCGUCACUAUAGGAGUGUCAAGCCCUCUAAUCAGUGCACUCAAGCGGAUAUAUAUGCAUUUUCCAUGGUUUCCUUUGUGUAUUGAGAGCCUAGAGAAGAAUGAUGGACGCACACCAGUGGGUUGAAGUAUCUUCCAUGGUCUUGGGCUCUAUAGACUGAUAAUGGAUGCACCUGAACUGAUUAAGCAUUUAACUGUGAUCAGGAACUCUGCUGGUUGUCCUGUGUAUAAAUACAUGUGGGUCAUAAUGGAUCCUACAAGCUGAUCUCAGCUUCUGCUCUGAUUAGGAUCAUCAUGUUGCCUCUGUCAGGAGGGCAACAAAGGUUUUUCCCAAACAUUCCUUAGUUGAUAGCAAUGUAAGAUAUUUUCAUCAUGAGGAAGAGCACAUUGGAGAUGGUGGGUUCUCACUGCUGUUCAAGUUUCCCAUGAUUCCUGUGAUCAAAAAAUUUAUGGCUGCAUCUAUGUGUGGGAACCAGUAACAGACACUGGAGUGGACCUCAGCUCCUGCCACAAUGAAGAUCAUCGUAAUGUCUUUGUCAGGAAAGAGGCCAAGACUGGACACACUUGAGGUGAUUUAACCAUCUUCCAUGAUCCCAAGCCCUUUGGUUGCCUCUUUAUAUUCAUUAAAAGUAUGGUGA